This 425-nucleotide ribosomal RNA is filed under the name uncultured Glomeromycotina. RNAcentral's name for it is "SSU rRNA". It matches the Rfam family "Eukaryotic small subunit ribosomal RNA", at positions 569 to 1000 of the family's 1831-position model. Lineage: Eukaryota; Fungi; Glomeromycota. The record is from RNAcentral.
AGCAGCCGCGGUAAUUCCAGCUCCAAUAGCGUAUAUUAAAGUUGUUGCAGUUAAAAAGCUCGUAGUUGAAUUUCGGAAUCAGUAUGUUGGUCGUGCUUCGGUACGUACUGUCAUUACUGGUUUCUACCUUCUGAAGAACCUUGAUGUCACUAAUUUGGUGUCUUGGGGAAUCAGGACUGUUACUUUGAAAAAAUUAGAGUGUUUAAAGCAAGCAUACGCUUGAAUACAUUAGCAUGGAAUAAUGAAAUAGGACGUUUGAUUUCUAUUUUGUUGGUUUCUAGGAUCAACGUAAUGAUUAAUAGGGAUAGUUGGGGGCAUUAGUAUUCAAUUGUCAGAGGUGAAAUUCUUGGAUUUAUUGAAGCUAACUACUGCGAAAGCAUUUGCCAAGGAUGUUUUCAUUAAUCAAGAACGAAAGUUAGGGAUCG